AUGAACGCUAGCGGCAGGCCUUACACAUGCAAGUCGAGGGGUAACAGGGAAAAGCUUGCUUUUCCGCUGACGACCGGCGCACGGGUGCGUAACACGUAUGCAACCUACCUCUUACUGGGGGAUAGCCCAGAGAAAUUUGGAUUAACACCCCAUAGUAUCACCAGUUCGCAUGUUCAGGUGAUUAAAGGUUACGGUAAGAGAUGGGCAUGCGCCCCAUUAGCUAGUUGGUGAGGUAACGGCUCACCAAGGCAUCGAUCAGUAGCUGGUCUGAGAGGAUGAUCAGCCACACUGGGACUGAGACACGGCCCAGACUCCUACGGGAGGCAGCAGUGGGGAAUUUUCCGCAAUGGGCGAAAGCCUGACGGAGCAACGCCGCGUGAGGGAUGAAGGCCUCUGGGCUGUAAAGCUCUUUCGUCGGGGAAGAAAAUGACUGUACCCGAAUAAGAAGGUCCGGCUAACUUCGUG
Molecule: ribosomal RNA, 465 nt
Filed under: uncultured bacterium
Lineage: Bacteria
Description: bacterial SSU rRNA
Rfam family: Bacterial small subunit ribosomal RNA
Source: RNAcentral